RNAcentral lists this long non-coding RNA (660 nucleotides) under Elaeis guineensis (African oil palm). RNAcentral describes it as "long non-coding RNA (EGUI_LNC037538)". Lineage: Eukaryota; Viridiplantae; Streptophyta; Magnoliopsida; Arecales; Arecaceae. The record is from RNAcentral.
UAUGCACUAUAAGGAAGCCCCACGUCCACUCAUAUUUGGAUGCCAUAUAUACCCCAUGCCCUACUCUUUUUGUGUGUAAGAAUCCAUGGGAAACUUCUUUCUCUCCGUGAGAUAUCUUGACGCAAAUAGAAAAAAGUUUGGGCAACAUUAUGAUGUCAAAGUCCUAGGAUCAUUGGACUUUUAUCUUCUACCUAAAACCAAACUCUCUUACUAUUUAAACGUGGGAUAAGAAAAGGGCGGUAACAACCUGAUGGUGAUCAGCUUUGGACGCAAAAAGGAUGAGGUGUGCGUAAAAAAAAAAGGAAGAAGAGGACACGGCAUGAGGCUUCAUGGCAUGAGUUUUGGUUGCAUCUAUCCUCUCUUUCUUACCAACAACCAAAGGUUGGUUGUUAGGAACUCUUCGCUCUCUUUUGUCCAAGUUUGGAUAUAGAUUUUUCUCUCCUCUUUUCUCUAAGAGUUGGACAUGAAUUUUCUAAAUCUCUAGCAUAGAGAUUUUGUCAAUGGAUUUUAGGAAGAAAGAAAAAAAUAUAUUCUUCUGAUGAUCUCUAGCAUAGAGAUCAUCAUCCUCUUAUUUUCUUUUUCUUCUCUAAAAGAGUCUUGAGAGAAAUGAAAAAUCUUUCAACUGUCAAGAUGCAAUUUCUGCAAAGAAGCUAGCACCCC